This 143-nucleotide transfer RNA is filed under the name Rachicladosporium sp. CCFEE 5018. It matches the Rfam family "tRNA". Rfam says of the family: Transfer RNA (tRNA) molecules are approximately 80 nucleotides in length. Their secondary structure includes four short double-helical elements and three loops (D, anti-codon, and T loops). Further hydrogen bonds mediate the characteristic L-shaped molecular structure. tRNAs have two regions of fundamental functional importance: the anti-codon, which is responsible for specific mRNA codon recognition, and the 3' end, to which the tRNAs corresponding amino acid is attached (by aminoacyl-tRNA synthetases). tRNAs cope with the degeneracy of the genetic code in two manners: having more than one tRNA (with a specific anti-codon) for a particular amino acid; and 'wobble' base-pairing, i.e. permitting non-standard base-pairing at the 3rd anti-codon position. The record is from Rfam by way of RNAcentral. Lineage: Eukaryota; Fungi; Ascomycota; Dothideomycetes; Cladosporiales; Cladosporiaceae.
GGCGAGUUGGUGUAAUGGUAGCACGCGGCUGCUUUAAUCCCCCAAACUGGCUGGAUAAACACCGCCCCAUCCAAUGGUUCUUCGCGGUGCCUCCAGGGCGGGCUAAAAUAGCUGAAGCGUGAGUUCGAUUCUCACGCACGCCA